Molecule: ribosomal RNA, 483 nt
Filed under: uncultured bacterium
Lineage: Bacteria
Description: bacterial SSU rRNA
Rfam family: Bacterial small subunit ribosomal RNA
Source: RNAcentral
AUGAACGCUGGCGGCGUGCCUAAUACAUGCAAGUCGGACGCAUCUCAAAUGAGAUGAGUGGCGAACGGGUGAGUAAUACAUAAGUAACCUGCCCUCGAGCGGGGGAUAACUAUUAGAAGUGAUAGCUAAUACCGCAUAGGCAUGACACUCGCAUGAGUGACAUGUCAAAGAUCCCAAGGGAUCGCCCGAGGAUGGACUUAUGACGCAUUAGCUAGUUGGUGAGGUAACGGCUCACCAAGGCGACGAUGCGUAGCCGGCCUGAGAGGGUGGACGGCCACACUGGGACUGAGACACGGCCCAGACUCCUACGGGAGACAGCAGUUAGGAAUAUUCGGCAAUGGGGGAAACCCUGACCGAGCAAUGCCGCGUGUGAGAUGAAGGUCCUUUGGAUUGUAAAUCACUUUUAUUUGGGAAGAACUGUAAGUAUAGGAAAUGAUACUUACUUGACGGUACCACUUGAAUAAGCCCCCGGCUAACUACGUG